ACCUUGUGUGGUGUAAUUGGUAGCACCUUGGCACAGUAAUUCUAUGUCCUAGGUUCAAGUCCUAGUCGGGGUA
This is a non-coding RNA of Halocaridina rubra (Hawaiian volcano shrimp), 73 nucleotides long. The record is from the annotation of a GenBank genome assembly. Lineage: Eukaryota; Metazoa; Arthropoda; Malacostraca; Decapoda; Atyidae.